AUUGAACGCUGGCGGCAGGCCUAACACAUGCAAGUCGAACGAGGGGCGGACGGGUGAGUAAUGUCUGGGAAACUGCCCGAUGGAGGGGGAUAACUACUGUAAACGGUAGCUAAUACCGCAUACCAUCGGAUGUGCCCAGAUGGGAUUAGCUAGUAGGUGGGGUAACGGUUCACCAGGGCGACGAUCCCUAGCUGGUCUGAGAGGAUGACCAGCCACACUGGAACUGGUACACGGUCCAUACUCCUACGGGAGGAGUGAUUGGGGAAUAGUGCACAAUGGGGGAAAGCCUGAUGCAGCCAUGCCGCGUGUAUGAAGAAGGCCUUCGGGUUGUAAAGUACUUUCAGCGAGGAGGCGUUACUCGCAGAAGAAGCACCGGCUAACUCCGUGCCAGCAGCCGCGGUAAUAC
RNAcentral lists this ribosomal RNA (406 nucleotides) under uncultured bacterium. RNAcentral's name for it is "partial 16S ribosomal RNA". It matches the Rfam family "Bacterial small subunit ribosomal RNA", at positions 30 to 526 of the family's 1533-position model. The record is from RNAcentral.